RNAcentral lists this ribosomal RNA (253 nucleotides) under uncultured bacterium. Its description in RNAcentral is "partial 16S ribosomal RNA". It matches the Rfam family "Bacterial small subunit ribosomal RNA", at positions 524 to 776 of the family's 1533-position model. The record is from RNAcentral.
UACGGAGGGUGCAAGCGUUAUCCGGAUUUACUGGGUUUAAAGGGUGCGUAGGUGGGCGAGUAAGUCAGUGGUGAAAUCUCCGGGCUUAACCCGGAAACUGCCAUUGAUACUAUUUGUCUUGAAUACUUUGGAGGUAAGCGGAAUAUGUCAUGUAGCGGUGAAAUGCUUAGAUAUGACCCAGAACACCAAUUGCGAAGGCAGCUCGCUAAGCCAUAACUGACGCUGAUGCACGAAAGCGUGGGGAGCAAACAGG